UACGGAGGGUGCGAGCGUUGUUCGGAAUCACUGGGCGUAAAGCGCGUGUAGGCGGCCUGCUAAGUCUGAUGUGAAAGCCCGAGGCUCACCCUCGGAAGCGCAUUGGAAACUGGCAGACUGGAGUCCCGGAGAGGAGGGUGGAAUUCCUGGUGUAGCGGUGAAAUGCGUAGAUAUCAGGAGGAACACCCGUGGCGAAAGCGGCUCUCUGGGACGGUACUGACGCUGAGACGCGAAAGCGUGGGGAGCAAACAGG
RNAcentral lists this ribosomal RNA (253 nucleotides) under uncultured bacterium. RNAcentral describes it as "partial 16S ribosomal RNA". It matches the Rfam family "Bacterial small subunit ribosomal RNA", at positions 524 to 776 of the family's 1533-position model. The record is from RNAcentral.